CGCCUCCACCCUCGCCCGUCGAAUCGCGAACUUUCCUGUCGUUUUUAACUUAAAACUCGCCUAUUUUUUUUUUUUAACUUUUCACUAGCUUUUCAAAAAGCAACGCGAUUAAAAGCAGUUAAGGGAAGCUAUUAUCAUCUUUUCUGUUCUUUUUUUUUAAAAAAAAAUUCUUCCAUUUCUUUCAUUUUCUGGUGAGUUUACAAUGUUUUCAGAAUUAUAUGUUUUAUAAGUGGGCUUAUUCAAUGCUACUCGCCCCACCAUCAUUUGGGUACUUGUGACGAGAAGAUUCUCAGAAACUGAAGCAAGAUGUUACCUCCUUGUUUCCUUCCCCUAUUCCAAUAUUUUAUCCCCAACUAAUCCCACCCUCCACGCCGCCCCUUUUCUCGUCAUUGGUCCGCUUCCUCUUUCGUAGUAACGCUCUUCCAAUUGUCAAAUAAUCAGCGACAGAUCAUCGCCGGGAAACCAUGUCCGAUCCCGUCUCCGGCGCCGGAUCGGCCGAGGACUGGCUCGCCCGGGCCCAGCUUUUAGUCCCCACGGCCCAAGAAAAGGCCCGGGCAGCGACGGGCUUCUCGGGGCGGUGGAAAGCCAUCGUCUCCAAGCUAGAGCGCAUCCCGCCAUGCUUGUCCGACCUCGCCAGCCACCCAUGCUUCGCCAAAAACGCCCUCUGCCGGGACCAGCUCCAGUCGGUCGCCGACACCCUCGCGGAGGCGAUCGACUUGGCCGACCGCUGCCUCUCCGGCGACCCUCCCGCCGGCAAGCUCCGCACCCAGAGCGACCUCGACGCGCUCUCCGGCAAGCUCGACCUUAACCUCCGCGACUGCGGCCUCCUUGUCAAGACCGGCGUCCUCGGUGAGGCUACCAUGCCGCCGCCACCCGCCGCCGCCGCCCGCUACGGCGAGCCGGUGGCCGUCCGCUUGAAUCUCCGCGAAUUGCUCGCUCGUCUCCAGAUUGGCCACGCCGAGGCGAAGCACCGGGCGCUGGAUGGCCUGCUGGAGGCGAUGAGGGACGAGGAGAAGAGCGUCAUGGCGGUGCUCGGCCGGAGCAAUAUUUCAGGUCUUAUACAGCUCCUCACCGCGACCUCGCCCCAGAUUAGAGAGAAGGCUGUGACUGUGAUCUGUUUGCUUGCCGAGUCGGGGAAUUGCGAGGAUUUGCUGGUUUCUGAAGGGGUGCUUCCCCCAUUGAUAAGGCUGGUGGAGUCUGGAAGCUUGGUGGGCAGAGAGAAGGCGGCGAUAUCGCUCCAGAGGCUGUCUAUGUCGGUCAAUACUGCCCGCUCCAUCGCCGGACAUGGUGGAAUUCGGCCGCUUAUCGAGCUCUGUCAGAUUGGUGACUCCAUUUCUCAGACAGCGGCUGCUGGUACUUUGAAGAACCUUUCGAUCGUGCCCGAAGCGAGGCAGGGUCUGGCUGAGGAGGGAGUUGUUAGAGUGAUGAUCAAUCUUCUUGACUGUGGAAUUGUGUUAGGCUCGAAGGAGUAUGCAGCUGAAUGCUUGCAGAAUCUGACAUCCAGUAACGACAGUUUGAGGAGGUCCGUUGUGUCUGAAGGGGGGAUUCGGAGCCUUCUGGCCUACCUUGAUGGGCCCUUGCCGCAGGAAUCUGCGAUCGGUGCAUUGAGGAAUCUGGUGGCCUCAGUCUCGACAGACAGCCUCGUUUCACUCGGCCUCCUUUCUCGGUUGGUUCAUGUGCUGAAAGAUGGGUCUUUAGGAGCGCAGGAGGCAGCAGCGGCUACAAUUUGUAAGGUUUCCAGCUCGAUGGACAUGAAGAGACUGAUCGGGGAAUUUGGUUGCAUUCCUUUGCUUGUGAAGAUGCUCGAGGGCACGACGAAUGGUGCGAGAGAGGUCUCUGCCCAGGCCAUUGCUAGCUUGAUAAGCUGCCGACAGAACAAUAGGGAGGUUAAGAAAGAUGAGAAGUGUGUGCCUAAUCUAGUUCAGUUGCUCGAUGCCAAUCCUCAGAAUACAGCAAAGAAGUAUGCAGUGUCUUGCCUUUUAUCUCUCUCUUCGAGCAAGAAGUGCAAGAAGAUGAUGAUUUCGUAUGGGGCGAUUGGGUAUCUUAAGAAGCUCUCGGAGAUGGAUGUGCCUGGCGCGAAGAAGCUACUUGAACGAUUAGAACGAGGGAGAUUGAGGAGCUUGUUUAGCAGGAAAUAGUAUCGCUCGCUGGCAUAUCAUUCUCGGAGAUGAUUGUAGUGUAAUAUCUGCUGAUGUAGGACUGGAAAGACCAGAUCAACGGCACCAAGAAAUCUACAACAAUCAAUCGCUGCACUAUUUUCUAUUAUUUUGGCAUGGAUUAUAACUGAAUGAAGUUUGAUUUUUGGAUGACUGGAGGGAGAUUUCAAAGUUCAUGAGUAUGAGGUAUUGAAAUUUCUUGGUGCAGAUUGUUUUGAAUUUAUGAUAUUUACCAUUCGAUUAUGUAUCAUUCCUUGUCCAUCUACUAUAUUUUUGCAUGAUAACAAUUUAUCUGAACAAUGACAUUCAAAAGAUUUUGAACUAGAUGUUAAUAAACAUAUGCUACUCUGAAAGUAGAUUUUUCAGAUGUAAUUUUUUCACCAUGUUGUAUUGUGGAGUACACUUUCAUAUUCAUGGAUGAGGCACUACUCGCCCACUAAUAUCAGCACUGAUGUGAUUUUUGUUGUG
This is an RNA transcript of Phoenix dactylifera (date palm), 2624 nucleotides long. RefSeq lists it as uncharacterized. The record is from RefSeq and is a predicted model, not a curated record. NCBI's taxonomy places the organism in Eukaryota, Viridiplantae, Streptophyta, Magnoliopsida, Arecales, Arecaceae.